RNAcentral lists this ribosomal RNA (539 nucleotides) under uncultured bacterium. RNAcentral's name for it is "bacterial SSU rRNA". It matches the Rfam family "Bacterial small subunit ribosomal RNA", at positions 8 to 526 of the family's 1533-position model. The record is from RNAcentral.
AGAGUUUGAUCCUGGCUCAGAAUCAACGCUGGCGGCGUGCCUCAGACAUGCAAGUCGAACGCGAAAGUCCCCUUCGGGGGACAAGUAGAGUGGCGCACGGGUGAGUAACACGUAGGUAAUCUACCUUCGGGUGGGGAAUAACAAUCGGAAACGGUUGCUAAUACCGCAUAAUGCAGCGGCACCUAAUGGUGACAGUUGUUAAAGCGGGGGGUCGAAAGAUCUCGCGCCUGAAGAGGAGCCUGCGGCGGAUUAGCUAGUUGGUAGGGUAAUGGCCUACCAAGGCGACGAUCCGUAGCCGGCCUGAGAGGGCGGUCGGCCACACUGACACUGACAUACGGGUCAGACUCCUACGGGAGGCAGCAGUCGGGAAUUUUGGGCAAUGGGCGAAAGCCUGACCCAGCAACGCCGCGUGAAGGAUGAAAUCCCUCGGGAUGUAAACUUCGCAAGAACGGGAAGAAUUAGUGGAAGUUAAUACCUUCCAUGAUGACGGUACCGUUUGUAAGCUCCGGCUAACUCCGUGCCAGCCGCCGCGGUAAUAC